GGUAUUAAGCCGGAUUUACGGAUAACAUUGAUGUCGUUAAAUAUGAGUAUACCUCUAAUACCU
Molecule: transfer RNA, 63 nt
Filed under: Erpobdella testacea
Lineage: Eukaryota; Metazoa; Annelida; Clitellata; Hirudinida; Erpobdellidae
Description: tRNA-Ile
Source: RNAcentral